GCAACACAAACCAGAAAUGGAGACCAUCUGUCUUCAAAGUAAAAAUUGAAACAUGUUGGCUGCAGCACUGAGGCUCAACUUUUACUUUGAAGAUGAACCUUCUUUCAUUUCUGGUUUGUGUUACAGUUUUUCAAGUUUUUAUAUUGCUCAGCUAGUAGUUAACAAGUGUUUGUAGACACAGGAAAAAACUAUAGGCAACUGUGGAAAUAACAACCGAAGCUAUCCCCAGGACCCAGAACUAAUCUCUCUCAGCAACAGCCACUGUUGCUGCUGCCAUCUAGUCAGGGUAAAACACAUUUCCCUAGCAACCAUGGUUGUAACAUGUGUAAUACAACUGACAACUCUUGAUCAAUGUGUGUAGGAUGUCACUCGAGAAACUUUAAUAGACUUUGAAUCAUGGUAUUAACUUGGUUAGGCAUCAAACACCUAGAUCUAGAGACCAGUAAGUGAACCUCUAGAAAUCUCCAAUCACUAGGGAAAAAUUUGGUAUAUUGCCCAAUUCGUUGGCUGCUGCUAGUUGAAAUUGGUCCCAACAAAGGUGCUGCACCAAAGCCCUUUUUGUGAUUGUUUUGGUCACUAGCAUUUUGCUGGGGUCACCUGUAGUUUCCAUGGAGGACGUCAGCUUGUCUACAAAUAUCCACCAUUUAUUCUCCAACCUGUUCAGAAAAUUGAAGAAGUGCAAUGCAAACUGGAAACAGAGACUGUUCACCUUCAGAGUAAAGGUUGGGCCUCACUGCUACAACUAACACAUUUCAAAGGCCCAAUUUUGACUUUGAAGAUGAACAGUCUCCAUUUAUGGUUUCCAUCAUACUUUACCCAGUUAUACUAGAAUUUGGUGAAUACUUUGCCAGUGUUUGCAGACAAGUUGCUGUCUUCCUUACAAAGUGCUAGUGACCAAAGCAAGAAGGUUUUCAGUGCAGCCCCGUAUACCUCUCACAAAUUGCACAGACUUUUCCCUAGCAACUAGUGGGGGUUACUGACUGGUCCAUAGUCCUGCAUGAAUAAGGCCUUAGCAAGUAUGGAGAGUUAGUGCAGUAUCUGUAUAUCAUAUGUUUGUUACUUUCACUAAUGUGCAGGUAUCUGUGUAUCCCAAGGAAAACAUCUAGCUGACCAAGCUAGCUAGCCUUAGCUUAUAACUCUGUGCUACAUAUCCUUAGUUUUUCAGUUCUGUGAGAACAGUACUCUAUAUUCACACUAUUCUCAGCACGUGUGAGCUACUUCAGUUAAUGGCCUUUAUGCACAAUUCAUUAAAUUCAUCUUUAAUUUUUAGCAGCAUUAUCAAUGGUUCUCGAAAAAUAAUAGACAUUAUUGGUCCCAAAAAGUUCAAUCCUAAUAAAACUGGUGGUCACUUGACUUUUCUUUUAGCACCAAUACUUAAUUUAAAUGCUUCUGUAUUUAGUAAACAUUAUAAUGUACUAAAAUUGUGAAAACAGUAAAGAUAACUACUUUACAUUAGCGUGUUAGAGUUUUUUUGUGAACAUUUUAUAACACUGGCAUUAGUUAGAACUUAUGUAAGUCCUUUACAACUCAUUGACUACAUUUACAACUCAACUGUAACCUAGC
Astatotilapia calliptera (eastern happy) is the source of this 1563-nucleotide long non-coding RNA. NCBI's taxonomy places the organism in Eukaryota, Metazoa, Chordata, Actinopteri, Cichliformes, Cichlidae. The record is from Ensembl.